CUCAGUACCUGGCAGGGGAGAUACCAUGAUCACGAAGGUGGUUUUCCCAGGGUGAGGCUUAUCCCUUGCACUCCGGAUGUGCUGACCCCUGCAAUUUCCCCAAAUGUGGGAAACUCGACUGCAUAAUUUGUGGUAGUGGGGGACUAC
Molecule: small nuclear RNA, 147 nt
Filed under: Echinops telfairi (small Madagascar hedgehog)
Lineage: Eukaryota; Metazoa; Chordata; Mammalia; Afrosoricida; Tenrecidae
Description: U1 spliceosomal RNA (ENSETEG00000025345.1)
Rfam family: U1 spliceosomal RNA
About the family: U1 is a small nuclear RNA (snRNA) component of the spliceosome (involved in pre-mRNA splicing). Its 5' end forms complementary base pairs with the 5' splice junction, thus defining the 5' donor site of an intron.
Source: RNAcentral